Molecule: long non-coding RNA, 2218 nt
Filed under: Zea mays
Lineage: Eukaryota; Viridiplantae; Streptophyta; Magnoliopsida; Poales; Poaceae
Description: long non-coding RNA (ZMAY_LNC003548)
Source: RNAcentral
UCGGAAUUCGUCGCCGGAGAUGGGCCCCGCCGCGGAGCCGCGACGAGGAUGGGACUCUGCAUAGUGCAAUCAUCGGUGAGCAACACUCUACCUGUUUUGCCAGGACCUCUGCAUCGUAUAACGCGUGUAAGCAUGUGAUAUGGGUCACCAGGGGGGCUGAUCGCCUGACCUCGGCGAGGGCGCCGCCGUGAAAUAGGGGGGCAUCGUCGCUGCUGGCUGUAGUGGGGCAAACGAUGGCCGCUAGUCGUUGAUCAGCUAUUGGGCGGCCAGGAUUAUAUCCCGUUUGCAUAAAAUCUGAAUCGUUGGUCAUAGAUCUGGCGGCUCGCAGUGAGUACCGGUUCACCAUGGAGAUGUUCUAAUCUGAGCCGUGCAUUUAUGAUCGGGCAGCUGAUAAACACACAUACCCUUUUGCCGAGCGUAACUUACAAAAGAGUCCCUCGGUUUUUGUAGAAUCAACCCGCAGUCCACCCAGUUCAAUGGAAAUCACAGUCAAGGCCUCGAAUUUCACAAAUAAGUGCAUGGAAUCUUCAAAACAGCCCCUGACGACUUAAAAUUAUGAAAUUAAUAUAAAAAGUAUAAACAAACUUAGACAAUCUAUAUCUUACUCAUUUUAACUUUGUUUUGAUCUGUUUAAACUGUGUUAGCUUCGUAAUAAUAUUGCCUACACAGUAUAAAACUGUUUGUAAUAUAUCACAUACUUUUAUAAUUAGAUAUUUCUUUAAUCCAUAAGAUUAACCUUUCUAAUCAUCGUUAGUCUAUCUAUAAUUAUAAACCGACUAAAAGAUAUCCUCCGAUCGAAAACUAUAACUUAGAUCAAAGUUGAAUUAGUUAUUUCUCUGAAAUAUUUUUCUCACAUGAUUUAUGUUAAUGAACAUAGAAUAUAAUUUUAUUGUUUAAUCACCUAAAACUUUGGAAAACCAUAUCUUUUCAACUAUGACUCCGAUUUUAGUGGUUCUCGAACCUACGAUCUUAUAGCGACACGUAGAAUAUUCUUAUAUAGUUUGUUCUUGUAUUUGGUGUAAUGUUAUCAUAUCCAUUAUUUGUUUAUUUGUAUGUAAUGUUGCAAUAGAAGCGAGGUGACGUGGAACCUGAAGCUUCAAUUGGAGAAGUAUCUGGAGUUACAUAAAAAGGCAAGAUAUGUCUUUGAUCACUUUCUUUACCUAAUAAUUAUUCUAUUAAUCACCGUGGCAUAGUUAGGUUAAGUUGAUGGGACCUAAUAAGUUACCUAAUUUUGUUUACUCUAUACCUUGCAAACAAAUGAAAUAUUGGGUAGUCUUGCUAUUGCUUUAUCUAGUUUUGGGAUUAAUGAUAUAUAUGAAUUAUGAUCAUGCUUUAUUAUUGCGAAUGAAAUUCUUUAUUUUCAUGAUAAGAACAUUGUGUCAAUUGCAACAUGGAACUUAACCUGAGAUAACAAUUAACAGUGCUACCAUAAGAGUGGAAUGAGAUGCCCUUAGCCAAUUAAUUAGGAAAGUUAGGGAGAGAUUACUUUACUCAAAACGGGCAAGCGGGAGGCAUCGCUGCAGAGUAUGGAGAGGUUCUCGUGUCGAUCAUGCUGUGAUGGCUUUUCGAACAAGAGAUUCCUAUGCUUCCUUCUUCCUAAAAUUGUAGCGGGUUUUCUCAAACUAGCGAAACUUUGUAAAGGCCUCACAGUGGAUCCCUAGUGUUGCACCAUGGGAUUGUCUAAGUGUGUAGCUAACCUUGUCUUUAUGGGAAACACAUAUUGUGGGUAAAGAUGUGCAACCUUUGCAGAGUGUAAAAGUGGUAUAUCAGUCGCGCAAACGGUCAUGAGCGACUAAGGAUUCUCACAUGAUUAACUUAUAGAAUUAAAUUUAAUCUAUCAUUUGCAUUGCUAUUAUUAUUAAUUAUGCUCAAUUACUUAAUUGAGUUGGUACUCACUUAUACUUAGUAAUUGCUAAUAAAAUUUUGACAAACUAUUUAAAAGCAAUGCUCGGCUUUAACCAUUCUACUAGCAAGCCUUACACCACACUUUUUCCACACUUACUGAAUGAUGAUCGUAUGUGAGCUCACUCUUGCUAUAAUCACACUAGGUCAAGCAUAGGUACCAUAAAAUGAGGAGCAUGCAGGAUACUACAAUGAGUACGGAAAGGUCUAGACCGUUAUCUCUCAGUCAACUAUGGUUGCAGGGAUCGUUGUCGUUAUAUAAUGUAUUUAUUUAGCUAUUUUGUAUAGAACUCCUAUUAUAUAAUAUAGAUGUGAC